UAUUAAAUAUUUAUUGAAGGAGAUCUACUGUUGGUGACUCUGAUAGCACAUAUCCAGACAUUUCCUCCUAGUUACUGUUGUGUCAUUAAUAAUUGUUAUGGUAAUGGUCCAGCAGCCAAUUAUGUGUUUCAGACUGCUAUAUUCAUGUUCAAGUCACAUCAUUCUUUCUCCCUGAAAGAUUUGCUGAGCUAUAUUGAAACCUCUGAUAACAUUUCUGCAGCAAAUUUCUGGUUUGAAGAAUGAUGAUUAUAGCACAAGACCUGAGAAUUAUUCUGCUCAAAGCUGAUCUUACUCCCCAAUUCAAAGGCUGCUGGCCCUGGAACUUGGUCUUUGAGUAGUUUAGAACAUAGUGAAGGAAUGUUAUACUUUAAACCUAAUCAUCACUGGGAAGGAAAAAAACCUCCAGCUGAUUAUACUUUCUACUCUUGGAAUGUCAUACCACUUAUGGCACUGAAGUUGGUAUUUUUAUUGCAAAAUUGACAUUAAUUUACAUUAGAACAUGUAAAUUAUGGUAGGAUAGGAAAAAAUAAGGUUAUUAAUGCCUGUACUGUUUACUUUUUCACUAUUUAUGCUGUUUAUUUUGAAGUGAAUGUUUUCACAUAUUUAACUGAUUUUCAAAUAUUCAAACCUGUCAGAUUAUUUUCACUAAAUCAGCAUUCUGAAGAAAAGUAUAAAGAACUCACAUAUUUCCAGUAUUAGAAUCAUAGUGUUUGACAAGAAAUCCCACCUCUUGUCUUUUUCUUCCAAGUUUUAAGUGAUAAAGUGCUCCUGAAACCUAGAAAUCCAGCAUGUCUGAAAGCAUUUCUUUUUCAUGGAAUAGACCAGACAUCACAGGCACAAAGGAAUCAAAGCCCUUGAUGCAACAGAAGCUUUUGGCAAGACUCACAGGAUUUUUUUGAACUGCAGUUGAGACUGGAGAGAAAUAGUUCCUAAAGAACAUCACUGCAUCAAACAAUCUGUAAGUACGGAAUAGAAGAGGUAUGAGAAAGGGAAAGUCUGAUGACAGAUUGAGAAUCUUGUUUUAUAAAAUAGCUGCAGAGGGCUUGAGAGCUUUAAAGAGUGCCAGUGAGGGGGCAGAAGAGAAGUGUGUGCACAUCUUAGGAGAAAAUUACUGAGCUUUAAUCUCAAACAUAUUAACCUCAAGUCUUUAUUGUGAGGUAGCUUGGUCUUGAUUUUUGGAAAUAUUGAGCUCUCUCACGUUUGUGUGAACAGAAGAAAUAGUGCAGAGGUGGAGGGGAGAGGAAAAAGUUAUAUGAGUUUUACAGGCAUAAUAUAUAUAUCUGUGAAUUGCAAUCUUUUUUAAAGAAACAGGUGUUGAGAUCAUUACGGCAAAAUCAUUAGUAUGAUCUCCCAAGAAGCUCAGGAAGGGCAUGGCUAUCCUGUCAGUCUCUGAAGCACAUGAAAUGAAUACCACUACUUACAUGCUUCCCUGAGUCCUAAAACAAUGCCCAGCUGUUCUAUCAACGAAAAUUCUAUGGGGUCCAGUUGUUGUGUCAGUCCAGGUUCAGCGAGAGGAAGCAGGGGACUCUGCAGGACACGGAUUUAUGAACUGGGGAGCACAGGUGCACUACACCCUCUGGCAGAGUGGUCCCUGUCUUUACCCCAUUGCACUGACACCCAUCUCUCUCAGCCAGGUUUGGCUGCACCCAGACCAAAGCAAGACUACCUGAGCUGUGUGCAGUGGGGCUGUAGCCAAACAAACCUCACACUCAAUUUCACAGCAAGGGAAUAUUGAAUGGAAACACAAAGUGGGUAUUACCCCCUUUAUAUUUAUUUAUACAUUUGCAAGACAAGUACCAGAGUUAUAGACUACCCACGUUUUAAGGAGGAUGAGACUUUAUUUAAAAAAUGAGAAAGAGAAGCUCAACUUCUCUUUAGCUGUGACUCAGUCAUGGAGCACUGGUUGUGGUCACUGAGGAAUGAUUUUUAUAUAGUAGGCAGCUCUUCAAUCUGUUGGAUACAACAGAAGCCAGUCUCUGGAAGCUGAGAGUACAAGUAAAAUUUGCAAGGUGCAAAUUCUAACCAGGUAAUCAUCUACUGAACAGCACAUCCAUAGAGGUAGUAGAUGCUCUCUUGCAGUCACUUAUGAGCAAGGUUGAAUGCCUUUGAGAUAGUGUCAGUCAAAAACUUGGAUUUGAUGCAGAAGUUGCUGGUGAGACUUAGAGGAGGUCAGGCCAUGUGGCAAUUGUCCCUUCUAAUCUUAAUUUUCUCGAGUUUGAGGCACAUCUUAAUACUGCUACACUGCCUGUCCAGCUGUCAAGAAAUGUUCAGCUAGUCUAGAAAAACAUUCUGAAAGGCUGUUGCUCAAAUGUGACCUGUUCGUAUUUAGGCAAAAUACAAUCUGGGGGAUUCAGUACUAUCUAGACAUCAUAUGAGGAUGUGACCCUGUAGUAUCGCUUAGUUCACACAGCAAAACAGCCCUGGGUAUUAAGAGUUGCUCAGGAGAAACAGGAAGGAAUUUAAAAAGAAUUAUAAUAAUUGAGGUUUUUUUAAUACAGCUCUAGAAUUAAUUAAGAAACUAACGAUAAUGACCACAGAUACCAGUCAUCUCUGAAAGAAGUAAAAAAUGGUAGUCUGCAGAAUUAACAUGUCAUUUGUAGAUUCUUUUUAAUCAAAAUACUCAUAUUGAGAAAACUAUUCAAUAAACGUGAUGAGCAAAUAUUUAACCUUUAGGUUUAGUUUGUGUUCACAUUCCAAACAAAUAUAGUUAGAGAUGCUUAAACAUUUGGAAGUGUUGAACAUAUGUUUACAGAAUAAUUAUAUUUAACAUUGGGAAAUUCACAAAACACUUUCCACAUGUGUUAUAUGUCCUUUUAUAUUAAAGUUUUCUAAAUGUUAUGUUGAAUAGUAUAUUAAAUUCCAUCUUCUUUCUAAGGUACCUGAAGUGGUAGCUUUAGAAGGUAUUUUUCUCAGCUGUAAUAACUCCUUGCAUUUAAAUAUAUUGUUGGUAUUUCCAUAUGUCCUAUUACCUUGCAUUUUUCAGUAAAGCAAUAGAUGAAGGUUUUAAUAAACCCCAUGAUUAAGCAAGGUUUUUACUGCAGCUACCCUUUUGCAUUUCAGAUUGUCAAUUUGUUGCUACUGUGAUUUCCCCUCUGUACAGGAUUACCUUAGUUCAACAGGAAUCAUGCAAGUCAGUGAUUAACAAGAGAUUGGCUAACGUAGUUCGCUGCAUUGUGCAAUUUUGAUAUUGCACCUCGUUUCACCAGUGGGGAAAAAAAUAAAAAGGAAGGUUUCUAAACCCCACUUUUUUGUCUGAACUCUCCAUUUUUUCAUCUGAACUCUCCAUAGGGUCUCAGUGCUUGGAGCCUUUUCACCUGGGCAGGGAGUUUUGGUUCACUGUCCUAGUGAGCUGUGCCCUGGCUGGUGCCUGCAGGGCUGGCGAACAUCACUCCCAGGGUGUGAGCGAGGCCUCCGCAGGCUGCCAGGCUAGGAAUGGGCUGGGAACGGGGAGCACCAGCUGGACUUUGCUUCUCGCUGCCCUUGAGGCCCCCGCAGGGAGCUGUCGGGUCCUGCACCUCCUCCCUCUGCUUUGGCCCUCCCAGGAGCACGUGGAAGGAGACCCUCGCUCACCUGAGCUUCCCACGGAGGGUGGCAGAGCCCAACAGCUGCCCAGGGAGGGCCUGGGGUCUCCCUCUCUGGAGACAUUUCAAACCCACCUGGGCGCGUUGCUGUGUCACCUGCGCCGGGUGACCCUGCCUGGGCAGGGGGUGGGACUGGGUCAUCUCCAGAGCUCCUUCCAACCAGAGCGACUCUGUGACUCUGAAACAGGAUGCUGAGCCCGGCCACCCGGAGAUGCAGGAGAUUUGUGUAAAAUACAUCAAAAAGAAGGAUUUCACUUGGGAACCGUCCCAUUUAACAAACGAUAGGAUUUGUUACGCGCUCUCUGUCCAGUGUAGGAGCCUUUAGCACACUUUCACAGCUCACAGCCCGCACCCAUUGCCAGUGCCAGCCUGACACCUGCCGGCGGCCGAGCGGCCUCGGGGGGACUGAGGAGAACCGGCCCGGCUCUGUGUUUGAGAGGAGACCGGAGCCGAAAGGCCAUGGGAGCGGCAGAAGGAGCGGCGGGAGUGCCUGGG
Molecule: non-coding RNA, 4076 nt
Organism: Cyanistes caeruleus (blue tit)
Lineage: Eukaryota; Metazoa; Chordata; Aves; Passeriformes; Paridae
Source: RefSeq, a predicted model, not a curated record